Molecule: ribosomal RNA, 336 nt
Filed under: uncultured bacterium
Lineage: Bacteria
Description: bacterial SSU rRNA
Rfam family: Bacterial small subunit ribosomal RNA
Source: RNAcentral
GAGUUUGUAUCGUGGCUCAGGACGAACGCUGGCGGCGUGCUUAACACAUGCAAGUCGAGCGGUGACCCUCCUUCGGGAGGUGAUCAGCGGCGAACGGGUGAGUAACACGUGGGCAACCUGCCCCUAACACUGGGAUAACCUCGGGAAACCGGGGCUAAGUACCGGAUACGACCUCGAGCGGCAUCUCUUGAGGUGGAAAGCUCCGACGGUUAGGGAUGGGCCCGCGGCCUAUCAGCUUGUUGGUGGGGUAAUGGCCUACCAAGGCGACGACGGGUAGCCGGCCUGAGAGGGCGACCGGCCACACUGGGAUUGAGACACGGCUUAGACUCCUACGGA